UAAACAGUCGUAACAAGGUUUCCGUAGGGAACCUGCGGAGGAUCAUUACCUAGAGUUGUGGGCUUUGCCCGCUAUCUCUUACCCAUGUCUUUUGAGUACUUACGUUUCCUCGGUGGGCUCGCCCGCCGAUUGGACAAUUUAAACCCUUUGCAGUUGCAAUCAGCGUCUGAAAAAACAUAAUAGUUACAACUUUCAACAACGGAUCUCUUGGUUCUGGCAUCGAUGAAGAACGCAGCGAAAUGCGAUAAGUAGUGUGAAUUGCAGAAUUCAGUGAAUCAUCGAAUCUUUGAACGCACAUUGCGCCCCUUGGUAUUCCAUGGGGCAUGCCUGUUCGAGCGUCAUUUGUACCUUCAAGCUUUGCUUGGUGUUGGGUGUUUGUCUCGCCUUUGCGUGUAGACUCGCCUUAAAAGAAUUGGCAGCCGGCGUAUUGAUUUCGGAGCGCAGUACAUCUCGCGCUUUGCACUCAUAACGACGACGUCCAAAAGUACAUUUUUACACUCUUGACCUCGGAUCAGGUAGGGAUACCCGCUGAACUUAAGCAUAUCAAUAAGCG
This 553-nucleotide ribosomal RNA is filed under the name Microsphaeropsis cytisinus. RNAcentral's name for it is "eukaryotic LSU rRNA". The stretch from base 188 to 341 matches the Rfam family "5.8S ribosomal RNA". Lineage: Eukaryota; Fungi; Ascomycota; Dothideomycetes; Pleosporales; Didymellaceae. The record is from RNAcentral.